CAGCAGUGGGGAAUAUUGCACAAUGGGCGCAAGCCUGAUGCAGCGACGCCGCGUGAGGGAUGGAGGCCUUCGGGUUGUAAACCUCUUUUAUCGGGGAGCAAGCGAGAGUGAGUUUACCCGUUGAAUACGCUCCGGCUAACUACGUGCCAGCAGCCGCGGUAAUAC
RNAcentral lists this ribosomal RNA (165 nucleotides) under uncultured Bifidobacterium sp. Its description in RNAcentral is "partial 16S ribosomal RNA". It matches the Rfam family "Bacterial small subunit ribosomal RNA", at positions 349 to 526 of the family's 1533-position model. The record is from RNAcentral. Lineage: Bacteria; Bacillati; Actinomycetota; Actinomycetes; Bifidobacteriales; Bifidobacteriaceae.